Molecule: ribosomal RNA, 388 nt
Filed under: uncultured bacterium
Lineage: Bacteria
Description: bacterial SSU rRNA
Rfam family: Bacterial small subunit ribosomal RNA
Source: RNAcentral
GACGAACGCUGGCGGCGUGCUUAACACAUGCAAGUCGAGCGGUAAGGCCCUUUCGGGGGGUACACGAGCGGCGAACGGGUGAGUAACACGUGGGUGACCUGCCCUCAGCUCUGGGAUAAGCCUGGGAAACCGGGUCUAAUACCGGAUAUGACUCCAUGACGCAUGUUGUGGGGUGGAAAGCCUUGUGCGGCUGAGGAUGGGCCCGCGGCCUAUCAGCUUGUUGGUGGGGUGANGGCCUACCAAGGCGACGACGGGUAGCCGGCCUGAGAGGGCGACCGGCCACACUGGGACUGAGACACGGCCCAGACUCCUACGGGAGGCAGCAGUGGGGAAUCUUGCGCAAUGGGCGAAGCCUGACGCAGCGACGCCGCGUGAGGGAUGACGGCCU